RNAcentral lists this ribosomal RNA (482 nucleotides) under uncultured bacterium. Its description in RNAcentral is "partial 16S ribosomal RNA". It matches the Rfam family "Bacterial small subunit ribosomal RNA", at positions 30 to 507 of the family's 1533-position model. The record is from RNAcentral.
AUUGAACGCUGGCGGCAUGCUUUACACAUGCAAGUCGAACGGUAACAGGCCGCAAGGUGCUGACGAGUGGCGAACGGGUGAGUAAUGCAUCGGAACGUGCCCAGUCGUGGGGGAUAACUACUCGAAAGAGUAGCUGAUACCGCAUACGAUCUAUGGAUGAAAGCGGGGGACCGUAAGGCCUCGCGCGAUUGGAGCGGCCGAUGUCAGAUUAGGUAGUUGGUGGGGUAAAGGCUCACCAAGCCAACGAUCUGUAGCUGGUCUGAGAGGACGACCAGCCACACUGGGACUGAGACACGGCCCAGACUCCUACGGGAGGCAGCAGUGGGGAAUUUUGGACAAUGGGCGCAAGCCUGAUCCAGCAAUGCCGCGUGCAGGAAGAAGGCCUUCGGGUUGUAAACUGCUUUUGUACGGAACGAAACGGCUCUGGUUAAUACCCGGGGCUAAUGACGGUACCGUAAGAAUAAGCACCGGCUAACUACGUG